GGGGGAGUCACUAGUGGCAUGGUUGUCAUGGCAACAGCUGCCUUUGCUAACUGAUUUUCCCCAGACAACCAUGAUACCAUUACAAAGAAGGGUCCGAGGAGGAGCUGCAGUGAGAGCAGUCUGGGGUUGGAUAAGUUCCUGCUUCACUCAUUUGGGUUUGUAUUGGGGGUUUCCUGUGAUGCCUUCUAACAGCUGUUAUGUGACUUAUGAGUUUCCAAUGGUUCUCACACUCCAGCAACCAGUAGGUCCUGAGGCUACAUCUAGAUGGAAAAAUGGUAAAGGUGAUCUGAUGUGACGCUGAUACAAUGUUGCGCAAGAGCUGGCAACAGCGAAAGAGUGUCCUGAAAUCCCUUCUUCUCCAGAACUAAGACACCUCUGCACCACCCUGAGCCAGCUGCACCAAAAAUGACUGGGAGGAAAGAGCACCAGAGCCCUUUUUCUUUGCCAAGUGUGUAGCAUUGUGACUGGGCAUACAAACCCUCCCUUGGGAAAGAAGGUAUUGUCUGGUCUGCUGGUUAUAUAUUAAUUAUAAUAAUUAAGAAUUCCCAAAUAACACUGUGUAGUUUGGCAGGGUCUCGUCCCAAGAUCGGGCCCAGAGUUAUUAGAAUUACUUAUCUUGAGAAAUCUGAUGUGCACAGGAGCAAUACCCACACUUAGGAAAAGCCUUUUGCAUUUGCAUUAGUUUUAUUAACAUAGUUAGCAAAAUUGCAAACACUACAACCCAGCAAAGAACCUAGAGGUAAUAUACAAUGAGCAUCCAUAAUCUCUUACCAUCUCUUGUGGAGAAGUGGUAGUCACUAUCUUCUUCAUCGUCAUCACCAUCAUGUAUCAUGCCGGUAUGUCUCAAGGCAUGCAAGCUGGGAUACAACUUUUAUA
This 876-nucleotide long non-coding RNA is filed under the name Chrysemys picta bellii (western painted turtle). RNAcentral's name for it is "lncRNA (ENSCPBG00000010586.1)". The record is from RNAcentral. Lineage: Eukaryota; Metazoa; Chordata; Testudines; Emydidae.